AGUGAACGCUGGCGGUAGGCCUAACACAUACAAGUCGAACGGUAGCACAGUAAGAGCUUGCUCUUACGGGUGGCGAGUGGCGGACGGGUGAGGAAUACAUCGGAAUCUACUUUUUCGUGGGGGAUAACGUAGGGAAACUUACGCUAAUACCGCAUACGACCUACGGGUGAAAGCAGGGGAUCUUCGGACCUUGCGCGAUUGAAUGAGCCGAUGUCGGAUUAGCUAGUUGGCGGGGUAAAGGCCCACCAAGGCGACGAUCCGUAGCUGGUCUGAGAGGAUGAUCAGCCACACUGGAACUGAGACACGGUCCAGACUCCUACGGGAGGCAGCAGUGGGGAAUAUUGGACAAUGGGCGCAAGCCUGAUCCAGCCAUACCGCGUGGGUGAAGAAGGCCUUCGGGUUGUAAAGCCCUUUUGUUGGGAAAGAAAAGCAGCAGGUUAAUACCCCGCUGUUCUGACGGUACCCAAAGAAUAAGCACCGGCUAACUUCGUG
RNAcentral lists this ribosomal RNA (492 nucleotides) under uncultured bacterium. Its description in RNAcentral is "partial 16S ribosomal RNA". It matches the Rfam family "Bacterial small subunit ribosomal RNA", at positions 29 to 507 of the family's 1533-position model. The record is from RNAcentral.